GGGUUGUGAGGUUAAGCGACUAAGCGUACACGGUGGAUGCCCUGGCAGUCAGAGGCGAUGAAGGACGUGCUAAUCUGCGAUAAGCGUCGGUAAGGUGAUAUGAACCGUUAUAACCGGCGAUUUCCGAAUGGGGAAACCCAGUGUGUUUCGACACACUAUCAUUAACUGAAUCCAUAGGUUAAUGAGGCGAACCGGGGGAACUGAAACAUCUAAGUACCCCGAGGAAAAGAAAUCAACCGAGAUUCCCCCAGUAGCGGCGAGCGAACGGGGAGCAGCCCAGAGCCUGAAUCAGUGUGUGUGUUAGUGGAAGCGUCUGGAAAGGCGCGCGAUACAGGGUGACAGCCCCGUACACAAAAAUGCACAUGCUGUGAGCUCGAUGAGUAGGGCGGGACACGUGGUAUCCUGUCUGAAUAUGGGGGGACCAUCCUCCAAGGCUAAAUACUCCUGACUGACCGAUAGUGAACCAGUACCGUGAGGGAAAGGCGAAAAGAACCCCGGCGAGGGGAGUGAAAAAGAACCUGAAACCGUGUACGUACAAGCAGUGGGAGCACGCUUAGGCGUGUGACUGCGUACCUUUUGUAUAAUGGGUCAGCGACUUAUAUUCUGUAGCAAGGUUAACCGAAUAGGGGAGCCGAAGGGAAACCGAGUCUUAACUGGGCGUUAAGUUGCAGGGUAUAGACCCGAAACCCGGUGAUCUAGCCAUGGGCAGGUUGAAGGUUGGGUAACACUAACUGGAGGACCGAACCGACUAAUGUUGAAAAAUUAGCGGAUGACUUGUGGCUGGGGGUGAAAGGCCAAUCAAACCGGGAGAUAGCUGGUUCUCCCCGAAAGCUAUUUAGGUAGCGCCUCGUGAAUUCAUCUCCGGGGGUAGAGCACUGUUUCGGCAAGGGGGUCAUCCCGACUUACCAACCCGAUGCAAACUGCGAAUACCGGAGAAUGUUAUCACGGGAGACACACGGCGGGUGCUAACGUCCGUCGUGAAGAGGGAAACAACCCAGACCGCCAGCUAAGGUCCCAAAGUCAUGGUUAAGUGGGAAACGAUGUGGGAAGGCCCAGACAGCCAGGAUGUUGGCUUAGAAGCAGCCAUCAUUUAAAGAAAGCGUAAUAGCUCACUGGUCGAGUCGGCCUGCGCGGAAGAUGUAACGGGGCUAAACCAUGCACCGAAGCUGCGGCAGCGACGCUGAUGCGUUGUUGGGUAGGGGAGCGUUCUGUAAGCCUGUGAAGGUGUGCUGUGAGGCAUGCUGGAGGUAUCAGAAGUGCGAAUGCUGACAUAAGUAACGAUAAAGCGGGUGAAAAGCCCGCUCGCCGGAAGACCAAGGGUUCCUGUCCAACGUUAAUCGGGGCAGGGUGAGUCGACCCCUAAGGCGAGGCCGAAAGGCGUAGUCGAUGGGAAACAGGUUAAUAUUCCUGUACUUGGUGUUACUGCGAAGGGGGGACGGAGAAGGCUAUGUUGGCCGGGCGACGGUUGUCCCGGUUUAAGCGUGUAGGCUGGUUUUCCAGGCAAAUCCGGAAAAUCAAGGCUGAGGCGUGAUGACGAGGCACUACGGUGCUGAAGCAACAAAUGCCCUGCUUCCAGGAAAAGCCUCUAAGCAUCAGGUAACAUCAAAUCGUACCCCAAACCGACACAGGUGGUCAGGUAGAGAAUACCAAGGCGCUUGAGAGAACUCGGGUGAAGGAACUAGGCAAAAUGGUGCCGUAACUUCGGGAGAAGGCACGCUGAUAUGUAGGUGAAGUCCCUCGCGGAUGGAGCUGAAAUCAGUCGAAGAUACCAGCUGGCUGCAACUGUUUAUUAAAAACACAGCACUGUGCAAACACGAAAGUGGACGUAUACGGUGUGACGCCUGCCCGGUGCCGGAAGGUUAAUUGAUGGGGUUAGCGCAAGCGAAGCUCUUGAUCGAAGCCCCGGUAAACGGCGGCCGUAACUAUAACGGUCCUAAGGUAGCGAAAUUCCUUGUCGGGUAAGUUCCGACCUGCACGAAUGGCGUAAUGAUGGCCAGGCUGUCUCCACCCGAGACUCAGUGAAAUUGAACUCGCUGUGAAGAUGCAGUGUACCCGCGGCAAGACGGAAAGACCCCGUGAACCUUUACUAUAGCUUGACACUGAACAUUGAGCCUUGAUGUGUAGGAUAGGUGGGAGGCUUUGAAGUGUGGACGCCAGUCUGCAUGGAGCCGACCUUGAAAUACCACCCUUUAAUGUUUGAUGUUCUAACGUUGACCCGUAAUCCGGGUUGCGGACAGUGUCUGGUGGGUAGUUUGACUGGGGCGGUCUCCUCCUAAAGAGUAACGGAGGAGCACGAAGGUUGGCUAAUCCUGGUCGGACAUCAGGAGGUUAGUGCAAUGGCAUAAGCCAGCUUGACUGCGAGCGUGACGGCGCGAGCAGGUGCGAAAGCAGGUCAUAGUGAUCCGGUGGUUCUGAAUGGAAGGGCCAUCGCUCAACGGAUAAAAGGUACUCCGGGGAUAACAGGCUGAUACCGCCCAAGAGUUCAUAUCGACGGCGGUGUUUGGCACCUCGAUGUCGGCUCAUCACAUCCUGGGGCUGAAGUAGGUCCCAAGGGUAUGGCUGUUCGCCAUUUAAAGUGGUACGCGAGCUGGGUUUAGAACGUCGUGAGACAGUUCGGUCCCUAUCUGCCGUGGGCGCUGGAGAACUGAGGGGGGCUGCUCCUAGUACGAGAGGACCGGAGUGGACGCAUCACUGGUGUUCGGGUUGUCAUGCCAAUGGCACUGCCCGGUAGCUAAAUGCGGAAGAGAUAAGUGCUGAAAGCAUCUAAGCACGAAACUUGCCCCGAGAUGAGUUCUCCCUGAC
RNAcentral lists this ribosomal RNA (2802 nucleotides) under Escherichia coli. Its description in RNAcentral is "bacterial LSU rRNA". It matches the Rfam family "Bacterial large subunit ribosomal RNA". Lineage: Bacteria; Pseudomonadati; Pseudomonadota; Gammaproteobacteria; Enterobacterales; Enterobacteriaceae. The record is from RNAcentral.